GGCUCGGCCAUGUUGUCUUAGUCACCAGAGUGAGAUAUUCAGGAAGGCAGCCCUGCAGUGAAGAGUCUUUCUUUCUAACCUCCAGCUCUUGACUGAUUUCAUUAAUCAAGAUGAGAAGAGAUCCGCUCCUCUUCAUAGCAGUUAACUGUAAAAUCCUAAAGAAACAGAGAAGAUGUGUUCUUGGAUUUCAGCAAGGAAAGGCAGAUGUGGAAGACUGUGUCCUUUAGUCUGGGGAAGGGACAAAGAAGAACUCUGAUGAGAGACCCACAAAUAUCAGCGCACCAUCGUCCAUCAGUGGAACAAAACAAAGCCAGGGUCUAUGUGAAUGGGAACUGCACACAGCCAGGCAAGGGCACUGAAGCCUCGAGAAAGCACGUGUGUUUAUCUGACGUUACAUCAAGAGGGUAGAAGUGAACCGGAGCACUGUUUCUUCUUAGGCAAACACUGUAUAUUGAACAUUUGUUGAGAGCCCUGGAAAAACAAAAUAUCUCUAAGUUCUGA
This is a long non-coding RNA of Neogale vison (American mink), 501 nucleotides long. RefSeq lists it as uncharacterized. The transcript is spliced from 4 exons. NCBI's taxonomy places the organism in Eukaryota, Metazoa, Chordata, Mammalia, Carnivora, Mustelidae. The record is from RefSeq and is a predicted model, not a curated record.